GGAGGGGGCGGCCCUUUUAGAGUUUGGAUUCUGGCUCAGGACGAACGCUGGCGGCGUGCCUAAUACAUGCAAGUCGAGCGGACAGAUGGGAGCUUGCUCCCUGAUGUUAGCGGCGGACGGGUGAGUAACACGUGGGUAACCUGCCUGUAAGACUGGGAUAACUCCGGGAAACCGGGGCUAAUACCGGAUGCUUGUUUGAACCGCAUGGUUCAAACAUAAAAGGUGGCUUCGGCUACCACUUACAGAUGGACCCGCGGCGCAUUAGCUAGUUGGUGAGGUAACGGCUCACCAAGGCAACGAUGCGUAGCCGACCUGAGAGGGUGAUCGGCCACACUGGGACUGAGACACGGCCCAGACUCCUACGGGAGGCAGCAGUAGGGAAUCUUCCGCAAUGGACGAAAGUCUGACGGAGCAACGCCGCGUGAGUGAUGAAGGUUUUCGGAUCGUAAAGCUCUGUUGUUAGGGAAGAACAAGUACCGUUCGAAUAGGGCGGUACCUUGACGGUACCUAACCAGAAAGCCACGGCUAACUACGUGCCAGCAGCCGCGGUAAUACGUAGGUGGCAAGCGUUGUCCGGAAUUAUUGGGCGUAAAGGGCUCGCAGGCGGUUCCUUAAGUCUGAUGUGAAAGCCCCCGGCUCAACCGGGGAGGGUCAUUGGAAACUGGGGAACUUGAGUGCAGAAGAGGAGAGUGGAAUUCCACGUGUAGCGGUGAAAUGCGUAGAGAUGUGGAGGAACACCAGUGGCGAAGGCGACUCUCUGGUCUGUAACUGACGCUGAGGAGCGAAAGCGUGGGGAGCGAACAGGAUUAGAUACCCUGGUAGUCCACGCCGUAAACGAUGAGUGCUAAGUGUUAGGGGGUUUCCGCCCCUUAGUGCUGCAGCUAACGCAUUAAGCACUCCGCCUGGGAGACUUCACCGG
RNAcentral lists this ribosomal RNA (919 nucleotides) under Bacillus tequilensis. RNAcentral's name for it is "bacterial SSU rRNA". It matches the Rfam family "Bacterial small subunit ribosomal RNA", at positions 1 to 888 of the family's 1533-position model. Lineage: Bacteria; Bacillati; Bacillota; Bacilli; Caryophanales; Bacillaceae. The record is from RNAcentral.